CCGGGGCGGGUUGUGCGGGGCGUCGCCGACGCUCAUGUCGUCGCCGCUCAUGUCGUGGGUGCUCAUGUGGUCGCCGCUCAUGUCGUGGG
This 89-nucleotide transfer RNA is filed under the name Planobispora rosea. RNAcentral describes it as "tRNA-Met". Lineage: Bacteria; Bacillati; Actinomycetota; Actinomycetes; Streptosporangiales; Streptosporangiaceae. The record is from RNAcentral.